Molecule: long non-coding RNA, 391 nt
Organism: Strigops habroptila (Kakapo)
Lineage: Eukaryota; Metazoa; Chordata; Aves; Psittaciformes; Psittacidae
Exons: 2
Source: RefSeq, a predicted model, not a curated record
UUUCCAAAGCAUGGAACUGAUACCUUUUCUGCUACUUCUGACCAUUACUGAAGGCCACACAUGAAAAAGCAGACACUGCAAGGAAGACCUCCUUAUGACUUGGAAACAAAGAAGGAAUUAUAAUGAUAAAUCCUAAGUCAAAGGACCUAUAAAUGACUAAUUUAGAUUGAAUUAAUGUUACUGCUAUAGACAAAAACGAAGUUGCAAAUCUGGAGCCCCAGGCUCAAUUUCUCUGCCUGGAACUCUAUGCAAGACAGGCAGGAAAAAUAUACAGUAAACACCUUUCUGCAGCAUUGAUACUCAUAAAAGACAACAAAGCAUAGCCACUGGGUAAACAACAUACGGCUAAAUUUAGGUAAGUCCUUUUCUGAAGCUUGAUCUUCCUAGAGAA